Molecule: long non-coding RNA, 579 nt
Filed under: Homo sapiens (human)
Lineage: Eukaryota; Metazoa; Chordata; Mammalia; Primates; Hominidae
Description: non-protein coding lnc-PPM1J-6:1
Source: RNAcentral
AGUCUGAGCCUCCGGCACCGGCCGCGCAGCUGGAGGCGGCGGAGCGGAAGCCUUGACUUCAUCUCAGCUCCAGAGCCCGCCCUCUCUUCCUGCAGCCUGGGAACUUCAGCCGGCUGGAGGUCAGUUCCCCUCCCCAGGGAAGGAGGAAGUGAGGGAAGCUGCGAAGGUGUGAUGAACUGUGCAGAUGCUCGCUGUGUGUGCUGGGGGUGGGGGACACAUGGAAGCCCGGGAAGCUGACUCCUUGCCCUGAGUCACAGGGAGGGGUGGGCAGGGCAUGCGGGUGAGCUGGACUGAGGGAGGAAGGGGCUGUUCCAGAGUGGGUGGAGGUGAUUCCCUGGUGGAUUCUUCUCAGUCACUGUGCUGUGGUAGAUGUGUGGCUCCCUACAGUGUGGUCAUUGUCCCCUGCCGGGGGCUGAGUGACCCAGUGUUGCUGGCAGGCCUAGGAGGAAGGGGGGAGGAAGGCAGCCUGCCCAAACUCGAGCUGUGGGCAUUGCUGGGACUGAGCCUCCUUUGUAUUACUUGGGGCUUUGGGGACCGGGUGGGGUGGACCAGGGAAGCUGGCUGGCUGCUACCCCUGUC